RNAcentral lists this long non-coding RNA (1424 nucleotides) under Lytechinus variegatus (green sea urchin). RNAcentral describes it as "uncharacterized LOC121421703". The record is from RNAcentral. Lineage: Eukaryota; Metazoa; Echinodermata; Echinoidea; Temnopleuroida; Toxopneustidae.
CGCUCGCAAGAUCUUGAAGUUAAGAGUGACUGACCAGAAUCAGAAUGGCGACCUGGCAAAUCUUAUUGAAAGAAUGGGACCAUGAAGUCCUCAUUGAAACUUUCGAAGUAAAUGGAAUUGAUGAUGAUAGUUUCUGGCUGUUGGAGAGCGAGGAAAUUAAAGAGCUUAUUCCAAAGAUGGGACCUAGGCUAAAAUUCAUCAAAAAAUUCUCUGUACAGUAACUGCUGCCAAAAAUAAUCAACAUGUCAUCUUUCAUCUGCUGCAAAUGUCUUUCUAAAAUUCCUGGAGGAAUUUCUGGGCUAUUUUGCCACCUGAAAGUAGUCCAUGGUAUACUAAAAUCUACUUGCACAAAACUUGUUUGUGUAGAAUGUAAGGAAAUUUUGCGCCGUGGAUCAUCAUACAAAAAGCACCUCAUACAUGUCAUAGGGCAUUUGCAACCCCCUACAGUUCACGCUGAUGACCAGUGCCAAGCUAAUAGAGUUCCUCAUAUUGACAUAUCUGACUUAUCUAAUGUAAGCAGUCAUGGGGAAUCAAGUGAUGAUGACUGUAAUCGUGUUGAAAUGAAUGUAGAUGCUGAUAUCGUUAAUGACACUGAAUAUGAUUCUCAAGAAAGCCUAUCAGACCUUGUAGCUGCUUUUUAGCUCAUUUACAAAGCAUUUUAAUUACUGUUAACUUGGAGUGUUAUUGCCAAGAAAUCAUGGCUCUUGUAAGACUUUUAAACAAUCACUGUUUAGAAAGGGAAACACCUUUAGUUGUUAUUUGUAUAUUUUUUGUUUGUUUUAUUGUUUAUAUUCAAAAGGAACUAGUACACCUUUUUUUCAACAGGCUUUUUAAAAGGUUUAGCCUUAAGAAAUUCAUUAUUUCUUUUUUAUAACUCAAUUUUGAUCAUUGUCAUUUAUAGAGCAUACAUGUAAGUUGUUCAAGAAUGCAUGUUUCUUUGAAGACAUUACAGGGGGAAACUACAUUGAUAUCAUUUUUUUAAUUCUUUUGAUCUUAGUUGUAAUUGAGAACUGUUAUUACCAUCACCAUGUGUAAACUGAAUAAGUGUUAUAUGGUGUAACAUGCCAGUAAAUGGUUCAUGGCCUUCUAGUUUUAUAGAGCUCUGUGUGAAGUAAUUACAAUGGAGGAACCUUUAUAGAUUUGAUAGUCAUAUUCUAUUGUAAUGACUUGUUUAUUUGAUUAAGAUGCCAGAAAGAUAAAUGGUAGAUUUUUCCGCACCCAUUUUGGCCCCCCCAAAAAAGGUUAAAAACUGUCCAGUAUUAAUUGUGAACUCAAUUAUUAAUAUUUCAAAGUGUUUCCUAUAAACUGUAAGAAUGCUUAAUGUUGAUAUCCCUCUCAAGAGGUCAUGUCAAGUCUUUUAGAUUAAAAUGGGAGAACACCCGAUUGCAUUUUAUGUGUAGCAUAAAUAUAAUUCAAUGGCACAU